AAUGUCUGCGUGCAAGAUUUGCGCGGCGCGAGUGAUGCUGAGUGUGCCCUCAGCGCAGUAUUUAUUCUUAUUUGUUUUAUCGUCUUUACAAAUCUUGUUUGGUUUUAUUUUGGAUAAUUGCAUGUAAAAAAUAAUUUACAUUGUAAUGCAUAUGCAAAAUGUGAAUUAUUAUUCAUAUUCAAGUGUUUGUGUGAAAAUUAUUAAUGCGCAUGCAGGACAGGGAUGCGCCCUUUAGAUCACUUGAAUUUUUUCCUGAUAAUGAAUUAACUUAAAAUUGUGGUGUCUCACAUACAUGAGAAAUCUAUCUACAGACAGCUUGAAAUGUCUUUUAAACGAAUUAAUUCAAAACGAAAGCAUUAUGUAAUCUGUGAAGGUUGUAUUUCUCCACAAGCUAAACAGAACAACCCCAAAACCCCCAACCCCCUCCAGCUGAACUGAACUCUGUUUUUUGGAUGUGAGGAACGGUGUGUUGUCAUGUUACUGGGUUGAAACAUGCCUGCACUCACAGCAGCCCUACUCUUUUUAUUCAUUAUUUUCCCGCAGCCAAUAUUAUUGUUUUCACAAGACCAUAAUAAUAACAAAUUAUCAAUUGAUAAUUUAUCAUUAUUUUACGAAAAUCAUUGUUAUUUGUGAACGUAGUGUUUGCAGAAAAGGCUUUAAGACCAAGCGGAGUCCUCCGUCAGCUGCUCCCGCUUCACAGCGAGCGACUCGCGCUAACUGCACCAGCUUCAAAGUCCGCAAGUUUUGAUUUAACUAAAUCAAUUUGAGCGAAUACACUUUACUGAUCAUGAGCCCAACAUUUAGCAAGACAGAAAAACAUUCAGUCUACCUGAAGGAAGAUGUAUUUCAUUGUAAGUUAAUGCUGUUAAAUAGAGAGUUAAAUGGAGAGAGAGAGAGAGCGAGAGAGAGAGAAAUAAAAAAAAACGUGUUGGCUAUUCCUAAACUUGGAGCUCAUUAUAUUGAAGUACAAAUCCAAACACCAGAAGCAACCUACACUCUCAGUGUUCUUUCAUUGAAAAGUAUGUUUUUUGUUUAUUCACAGGCUAUAUGAUUGAAAUAAUAUUUUAGUUCAAAACUUUAAGUGCCAUUGUUUAAAAAAAAAAUGCUUUAUUGACUAACAUUUCAUAGACCUUCAGUUGUUAUGCUUUAAAAACCCAUGCCAUUUGUAAUUUCACAGUAUUUUCACCUCCUAAAUUACUACCCCAAUUCUAUAAUGGUAAAAUUUACUCAUGCCGAUGGCUUUUUUAUAACAUUAUUUUUUUUUUUUUUUUUUUUUAUUAGAAUAAUUGUAGCGUACAUAAAUUGUUGAAGCAAAACAAAUAUGAUAACUUUUUUUUAUAGGCAGAUAUAGGCCUAUAUUAUUAAAAAUAUAUUACCAUUACAAAUAUUUGGAUCAUUCCUUAUUUUGUACUUAUUUUCUUAAAGGAUAAACACUUAUUUUAUACAAGAAUAAACAUUAUAAAUAAAAAAUAAAAGAAAGAAUC
Long non-coding RNA from Cyprinus carpio (common carp), 1484 nucleotides. The record is from Ensembl. Lineage: Eukaryota; Metazoa; Chordata; Actinopteri; Cypriniformes; Cyprinidae.